AUCGUCCGGUAUUGUGGAAUGUGGUAUGCUGACGAAUAUUAAUCGAUAAAAAACUACGUGAAUAGUUUCAGUUCACUUUGAAAUACGUACUGACUAAGCAUUCCGCUGGUCAUAGUCUUGUCCAGUCACAAAUUUCAACUGUACCUUUCAAAUGUUGUAUGCCAUAUUAUUACCAUAUUUGAAAUCGGCAAAAUACAAAUACGAAACACAGUAAGUCAAUGAAUCUACCAAUGUAAAGUUUCGUUUUAGGCUGAACAACAGGAUAUAUUGAAAGUUAGUGAAUAAAAUAUUCUGAAUUGGUUUACUAGACCAUCAGUGAAAAAAUCUAAGAGAAAAGAGAAAAUGUAUGUCAGCUUUCUUGUAAUUUCAAGAAAUAACAUUGUUCUGUUCCAGAUUAUCGAAGAGAAGAGUUUUCAUAUGUAUUUAUAUACUUCCAUCUGCAGUUCUCAACUAUAUUAUAGUACAACUCGAUAAAAUGGUUUGUGAAAUUUUUCUGAAUAAACUUCUGAAUUGUGUAGUUUCAA
This is a long non-coding RNA of Leptinotarsa decemlineata (Colorado potato beetle), 524 nucleotides long. NCBI's taxonomy places the organism in Eukaryota, Metazoa, Arthropoda, Insecta, Coleoptera, Chrysomelidae. The record is from RefSeq and is a predicted model, not a curated record.